RNAcentral lists this ribosomal RNA (274 nucleotides) under uncultured bacterium. Its description in RNAcentral is "partial 16S ribosomal RNA". It matches the Rfam family "Bacterial small subunit ribosomal RNA", at positions 523 to 796 of the family's 1533-position model. The record is from RNAcentral.
AUACGGAGGGUGCAAGCGUUAAUCGGAAUUACUGGGCGUAAAGCGUGCGUAGGCGGUUUAUUAAGUCAGAUGUGAAAGCCCCGGGCUUAACCUGGGAACUGCAUUUGAUACUGGUAGACUAGAGUAUGGUAGAGGGGGGUAGAAUUCCUAGUGUAGCGGUGAAAUGCGUAGAUAUUAGGAGGAAUACCAGUGGCGAAGGCGGCCCCCUGGACCAAUACUGACGCUGAGGUACGAAAGCGUGGGUAGCGAACAGGAUUAGAAACCCGAGUAGUCC